This 253-nucleotide ribosomal RNA is filed under the name uncultured bacterium. RNAcentral describes it as "partial 16S ribosomal RNA". It matches the Rfam family "Bacterial small subunit ribosomal RNA", at positions 524 to 776 of the family's 1533-position model. The record is from RNAcentral.
UACAGAGGGGGCCAGCGUUAUUCGGAAUUAUUGGGCGUAAAGGGCGCGUAGGCGGCUUGGCAAGUGGAUGGUGAAAUCCCUCGGCUUAACCGAGGAACGGCCGUCCAAACUGCUUCGCUUGAGACCGGGAGAGGUGAGUGGAAUUCCCAGUGUAGCGGUGAAAUGCGUAGAUAUUGGGAGGAACACCAGUGGCGAAGGCGGCUCACUGGACCGGUACUGACGCUGAAGCGCGAAAGCGUGGGGAGCGAACGGG